This 10661-nucleotide long non-coding RNA is filed under the name Salvia miltiorrhiza (redroot sage). Its description in RNAcentral is "long non-coding RNA (SMIL_LNC005464)". Lineage: Eukaryota; Viridiplantae; Streptophyta; Magnoliopsida; Lamiales; Lamiaceae. The record is from RNAcentral.
UGGGCACACAAGCGGCGCUGGUCUUUUAUAACAUCAUCACAACUUUGUAAGACAUGCAGAAACUUGAUCCUACUAGCUUCUUCCUUACACAAGUGCUGCCAGCAAGAAUGCACACGAUACUUUCUCUCCCAAGACCAAUAUUCAUCCUCUGGAGAUGUGUCGAGAACAAGAUGGUACCACAUAGAAAGCUUUUCCAAGCAUGCCCUGAAUAAAGAUUCAAAACUUUCUUCUCCAAUCGGUUGAAGAAACCCCUCAGCACUCAACAGAAUGUUGAGCAUGUAUAGAUUCAAAUCAAGAUAUGGACGGAAAGCUCCCAUAUAGAGAAAAAACAUUUUUAACUGUUGGGGUAAAUAGUCAUAGCUUGGGAAAAGUACCUCUGAUAUUUGAUUAUAUGCAUCCACAAAGACUGAACUACGUUGCUUGAUGAGUACCUCAGUCCAGUAUUGUGGGGUCUUAUCGGCUUUUGAUAGGAGGUCAGCAACCGUGACUAUCAUAAGAGGAAGGCCUUCACAUUUCUUGGCAAUCUUCUCUCCCAGUUCCUCAAGUUGAGGAGGGAAACCCUCUUCACCAAAUACCUUCUCACCAAGUAAUUCCUUACUUUCUUCCUCAUUCAACAAGUGCAUUCUUCCGUACCCAUUCUCCGCGAAUAUAAUUUUUUUUCUACUUGUAAGUAAGAAUCGAAUCCUUCCAACAAUAUUCUCUUCUCCCAAGCAAUUUCUCAAGUGAUUUGUUGCUUGUAUCUCCCAAACAUCAUCCAAUACAAUGAGACAUUUCUUACCCUUCAAACAUUCUUUCAAGAUUCCAACUAAUUCUUCCUCAUCAACAUCAUCUUGGGUAAGCUGAUGGUAAGAGUUGGGAUCCACUUGAGCUAGAAUGCAUCGUAACAGUUCAUUGGAUUCACAUUUUCUGCCCACUCUGACCCAUGCUCGAAACUCAAAAUAUCUUCGAAUUGAUGGAUCUUCAAAAAUAUUCACAGCAAGAGUCGACUUUCCAACGCCCGCCAUCCCAAUAAUGGAAUAGGUUUCAUUGUUAUUUUCUUCAAGAAGAUACUUUCUCGCUUUCUCAAAAUGAUCAGAUGAUCCAACCAUCUUUGAAGUUCUCCUUCCAUCAAAAUCGAUUCUUGAGGAAAUAGGGUCGCCUUCUUCUUCAGGCAUAUUCUCCAUUUCAUUAGUGUAUUCCUCCUCCAUCAUCUUCAUCUUCUCGACGAAGCAAUCAACAUGGUGUUGCAGACUCUGCAGCUCUACAGGGAAUGACAAGCUGUCUCUCUCGCUUUCGAGUUGUGGAAGAAUCUGAUGUAAGACAUGGGAUUCGAGUAAAUCUUCAAAUUCCCAAACUGCCUCUUUGAUUCGUUCAUCCACACCAUUCACGUUCGUCCUGAUCUUGCUGCAGCUGGUGUCGUCCAAUUUUAGCAGAACAUUCUGCAAGCGAUCCAUCUCGUCAUAGGCAGGUUGCAAGAUUAGUGGAGAGUGGGAAUCGAGAGAAAUGCGAGACGAUUGUAGAAUACGCUGAAUCGUAUUCUUAAGAGAAGUCGCUGCACCAUAAGCAGCCAUAGCGAAAUUUUCAAGGCAGAAUCGCUGAGAAUUUCCCUCCAAUAUGAAGCUUAAAAUGAACUCUGAAAAUAACUAAAAAUCAGCUGAUAUAUGAAGCUUAAAAUGAAAUCUAAAAUAAACUAAAAUUAGUUGCAGUAUAAAGCUUAAAAUGAACUAAAAUCAGCUGCAAUAUGUAGCUUAAAAUGAACUAAAAUCAGCUGCUAUAUGAAGCUUAAAAUGAACUCUAAAAUCAGCUGCAGCGCGUCAAACCCAAUUAGCCUAACAAAGAAAGAAAGAGGAAUUUUAAUAAGCAAAUUGAGAUGAAACAUAUCUAAACUGUACCUCUAUGAGAGGAGAUUGGAGCGAGUCGGCGCGGCGGCAGCUGUGUUUGUUCGGUGUUUACGAGGUCGUCGGAAUAAGAUGAUGAAAAAGGGAAUAGGCGGCGCUGUGUGUUAGUGUUGGUGUUAUACUGUUAUUAGAGAAUAGAUUUAUCAUUUUAAGAACUAAAGUGUAAUUAAUUAAGAUGAAAAUAAAAUUAUUUCAAAAAAAAAAGAUGAAAAUAAAAUGGUUUAAAAAGGUGAGUGAGAGAAAUAAGUGGGUUGGGCCGUUCAUUAUUUUCAAUUGAGUUGGGCUUAAUUAACUAAGUUAUUGGGUUUGCCAACUAAAUAAAUAUGCUUCUUAUAAUUAAUUCAUUAAUUAAAAUAAAGGUUGCUUUUUUUUUUAUAAUUGUUGAUUUCGUAUUUUGGGUUUACAAUCAACUCACUUGUAAUUGAACUAUUGAACUAAUAUCGAUUAUUUUUUUUAUAAUUAAAAUAUCGAUUAGAUGUUGUUUCGGCUUGAUGUAAUGGCAAAGGAAGCCAAAAUUUAUCUCAAAUGCAAAAAACUUAAAACAAAUUAACAAUAGACAAUGGCCACUAUGAGACUCUCGAUUACAACUUAUAUACACAAUUCAACACUAAGUUUCAUGCUCAGUUGCAAAUGAAAGAUGAAGCUGAUCACAAAAGUCAUCAGAAAUUAAUUAAUUAUAUUGCCAGAAUUUGAAAAUGUAAAGCUAUUGAAAACACACAUCAACUUAUAACACACAAUAUCAAAACGAAGUGAAAUCAUGCAUAACAAGUAAUGCUUUCACACAAAUCCAACUUACAACAAUUUCUAUUACAAACAACAUACAUAAGUCACAACUCAUGUUUCAUAACACUCGAAAAAAUCCAAAGCAAGUUACAAUCCUUAAAUUCAGACGACAAUGUCGUAACACAAUCUAAAUUAUGGGAUAACGCGGCGUCUGAGCCCUUCAGCUCUCUCAUUUGCCUGAAAAUUUACAGAACUGUGAUUAUAACGAAGAUAUGACAUGAAUUGAUUUGGUUUGUAUGUGACAAAAGAGAAGAAGUAGGGAAGAAACAUUAAAGACUUGAUAUGUAUUGCAAAGUAGUAAGACUAACCUGUCACGCGAGUUGCAAAGUCCCUUGAGCUCAGAAAGAUGAACGAGUGGUAAGUUUAAAGGAAAACUUAUGCUUUAAUUGAUUGGCACAAGCCACACCUAAAGGAUUGCACUCCACUAAUUCAAUGGUCUUGAUACAAGACUGAUCAUCCGGUAAAUCGAGUUGCUGCAAUUUAUAGCAGUGCUUCAUGAUUAGUUUAAGAAGCCUCGGAAGGCUUCCACGUUGAGGUCUCCAUUGCACCAAAUCGGUGUCCCUAAUUUCAAGUUUAGUAAGUUUCAAAAAACUCCCCAGUUUUAUUUCCCAUUCUGGGCCUCGAAAUGCAUAGCAUUUUAAUUGGAGAACCGAGAGAUUUGGAAGCAGCGAACCAAUAUCAUUCAUGUACUUCCAAGGACAUCCCACCCCCCUCAAAUAUAACUCUGUGAGACUUGAUGGGAACAUUGAAAGAGGAAUAAAAGUAGGAAAGUCGCACUUUAUCACGGGAUUCUUGAUUUUAUAUCUAAGCACUUCCAAAUUCUGGAGUUUUGAUAUAUAACUCAAGGAACUCAAUGGGUUGGUUUCAUCAUCAUCAUAAGGAUUCAAAUCCACAACAAUGUCUAAAUGCGUUAAAUUAGGAAUUCUUUUGAGAACUUCCCUUGUACAACUGUUUGCACUCACACCAUAAAGUCCGCUGAGUUUGUUCAAGGUAGCAUCAUCAGAAUUAGGGGUUGGUAGGUCCCUUCCAAUUAUCACAAGAUGCUCUAGUUCUUGCAUGUCCCAAAUUUGCACAGGCAUAUAAAACUGAACUCCACGCUUUUUAAUGUACAUAUGUGGCCUGAUAAUCAAGAAUUGAAGGUGAAAAAGGUUGGAUAUGGAAGGAGGGAGCUCCCCGUUGCAUUUUAGGGAAAGGUACCGCAGACAAACAAGUUUUAAAAUUUCAAUUGGGAUAUGGUAAAAUCGAACUCUAAUAGCAUAUAGUACUCUAAGCAACUUGAAACCCAUGGCAUGUAUUGGGAUUGGAUAUGGGUGAUAAGGACUCAAACAAAGGAGAGAACGGACAGUGGAUGCACAAUCACUUUUUAUCGAAUCAUACACUUGUUUGAAGCAGAAUAAACUAUUCCAAUGGGCACACAAGCGGCGCUGGUCUUUUAUAACAUCAUCACAACUUUGUAAGACAUGCAAAAACUUGAUCCUACUAGCUUCUUCCUCACACACGUGCUGCCAACAAGAAUGCACGCGAUACUUUCUCGCCCAAAACCAAUAUUCAUCCUCAUGUGAUGUGUUGAGAACAAGAUGAUGAUGCAAAGAAAGACUGUCCAAGCAUACUAUGAAUAAAGGUUCGAAACUUUCUACUCCAAUCGGUUCAAGAAACCCCUCAGCGCUCAACAUAUCCAUGAGCGUGUCUAUAUUGAAAUCUUUAUAUUGAGGGGAAGCUCCCAUAUAGAGAAAAAACAUUUUUAAAUAUUGGGGUAGGUAGUCAUAGCUUGGGAAAAGUACCUCAGAUAUUUGAUUAAAUGCAUCCACGAAGACUGAACUACGUUGUUUAACGAGUACCUCAGUCCAGUAUUCCGGGGUCUUGUCAGCUUUUGAUAGGAGCUCUGCAACCGUGACUAUCAUAAGAGGAAGACCUUCACAUUUCUUGGCAAUCUUCUCUCCCAGUUCCUCAAGUUGAGGAGGGAAACCCUCUUCGCCAAACACUUUCUCACCAAGUAAUUCCUUACUUUCUUCUUCAUUCAAGAAGCGCACUUUUUCAAACCCACUCGUCGGAUCUCCUAUACUUUGUCUACUUGUAAGUAAGAAUCGAAUCCUUCCAACAAUAUUCUUAUCUUGGAAGCAAUUUGUCAAGCCAUAUGCUACUUUUGCGUCCCAAACAUCAUCCAACACAAUGAGACAUUUCUUAUCCUUCAAACUUUCUUUCAAGAUUCUAACUAAUUCUGCCUCAUAAUCAUCUCCUUGGGUAAGGUUUUGGUAAGCAUUGGAAUCCACUUGAGCUAGAACGUAUCGUAAUAGUUCAUUGGAUUCCCAUUUUCUACCCACUCUAACCCAUGCUCGAAACUCGAAAUGGCUCUGAGUUGAUGGAUCCUUAAAAAUAUGCCUAGCAAGAGUUGUCUUUCCCACGCCCGCCAUCCCCAUAAUCGAGUAAUUUUUAUCUUCAAGAAGAUCAUCUCUGGCUUUUUGAAAUUCAUCAGAUAAUCCAACCAUCUUUGGCUUGAUUCCACCAAAAUCGAUUCUUGAGGAAAUAGGCUCGCCUUCUUCUUCAGCCAUAUUCUCCAUUUCAAUGAUGUACUCUUCCUCCAUCAUCUUCACCGUCUCGACGAAGCAAUCAACGCGGUGUUGCAGACUCUGCAGAUCUACAGAGAAUGACAAGUUGUGUCUCUCGCUUUCGAGGUGUGGAAGAAUCUGAUGUAAGACAUGGGAUUCGAGUAAAUCUUCGAAUUCCCAAACUGCCUCUUUGAUUCGUUCAUCCAAAGCAUUCACCUUCGUCCUGAUCUUGCUGCAGCUCGUGUCGUCUAAUUUGAGCAGAACACUCUGCAAUCGAUCCAUCUCUUCGUAGGCAGGUAGUAAGAUUUGUGAAGGGUGGGAAACGAGAGAAAUGCGAGACGAUUGUAGAAUACGGUGAAUCGUAUUCUUGAGAGAAGUGGCUGCACCAUAAGCCGCCAUGACUUGAUUGAAAUAUGAUUGUGGUGGCGGUGGUGGUGGUGGUGGUGGAAGGUGUGAAGCGGGAGGAGUUGGCGACGGCGGUAGGUGGUGGUGAUGGAAGGAUAAGGAUUUUGAAGGAGGAAUUGUGAAAAUGAGAGCCUCUCCACAAAGUCAGCUCUUCACAACGCGGAAAUAUACGCUGCUUUGCUUUGAAAUUGAGGCCAUAUUCACAUCAUUGAUUAAAGAUGAUCUAUGGCCAUAUGUGGAUAAUCAAGAUUUGGAGAUUAAUCGAAAAGUUUGAAUAAGUAAUUAGUGUGGUUUGAGGGGAACGAUUUUUAAUAAAUGAUUUAACAUGAUUAAAUUUUUAUAAAUAUUGAAUAUGAAUAAAGUUUAAAAUAUAAAAAAUAAGUAAUAAUAAAAAAAAAACUACUCCAUCCGUCCACAAAAUUUAUGCUAUAAUUUCAUUUUUCGUUCGCCCAUAAAAAAUAUGUCACGUCCAUUUUAAUUAAUAUGGUCCACAUCACUUCACUCACAUUUAAAGUGAGAUUCAUACUCCACUGCUAACUUUCUCAUAUUUUAUUAAAACACGUGCCAAAAGCAAUGUGACAUAAAUUUCUUGGAUGGAGGAAGUAUGAUUUUUAUCAGGGAUGGCAACGGGGGGUCGUGGACGGAGGGAGUAUGAUUUUUAUCAGGGAUGGCAACCGAGGGGGGGGGGGUAUUGCUUUCCCAUCCCCAUACCCGCCUAAGAAAUUCAUCCCUGACCCCGCCUUCAUACCCGUUUAAAUCGGGGUGGGGAUUAUCCGAUGGGGGAAGAAUAUCCGUCGGGUACCCGCAAAAUUUAAAUUUAAAUUGAAGUUAAAAUUUGCUAAAAAAUUUAUUGUGAUUUUAAUUUCAAAUUUAAAUUUUUAUUAAAAAGUGAUGAGAAAGGUGGGAGAGUUAAAGAGAAACAAUGUCUCACAUUGAAAAAUGGAUGAAAAAGGGUGGGUGAAUUGUGUUAUAUAAAGGAGAGAAAAAAAUCUACAUGCAAUUAAAUAAUUAAAUUUUUAAAAUGUUAUAUAUCAUAAAUUUGAGUUUUAAUAUCAAUAUUAAUACUAAUAAAUUUUGUUAAUUAUAAAAAAUAAUUUAAAAUAUACUAAAUAGGAGUAUAUAUUAUUCGGGGCUGGUUCGGGGUGGGGAUCAAAAUACCUGGCCCCGCCCCGAACCCGAUUCGGGUUUAAUUUUUUAUACCCGUCCACGCCCCGACCCCGACCCGGAAAAUAUUGGCUCCGUCCCCGCCCAUUAGGAUCGGGUACAUGCGGAUACCCGAACCCGCGGGUAUAAUUGUCAUCCCUAAUUUUUAUGGACAAAAGAAAGUAGUAAUAAAACUAUAUUUUGAUGAACAUAAUUUAAUUAAAUCAUAAGCGGAUUAUUAGACUAUUCCAUGCCCCCAAUGGCAAAGUAAGCCAAACAUGAUCUCGAGUGCAACAAUUUCAAAAAGAUAUACAAUGAGCAAUGGCCACUAGCUCGAUUACAACUUACUAGCAAUAAUAGAUGUAAUAGUGGGACACGAUCGCACACAUAAAAUUGUGAGACAUUGGAUUUCAUCCGAAAGUCUCGAUAACGUAGUGAGUUUCAUCCUCAGUUGCAAAUGAUUCAUGAAUCGAGAAAGAUGCUAAUCGCAACUCAUGGCAUUGAAUCUUCGAAUCCAAAUGAUAAACAAAGCUCAUAAAUUUAUUAAAUUAGAGAUAUAUGCAAAAUCGACUGGAAAAUCAGUGGAAAAAUAGCCAAAUUACACACAAGCAGACCAACAAUUUUCUAAUCAAGAAAAAAGAGAAUAAAAAGGAGCACUCUGCAAACAUGAAUCUUGCUUUGUCACCAUGAUCAUAUUUCUGUGCUGCUUGCAAUAGAUUGGUUACACACAAAAUCUUGCAUAACAAGUAAUGCUUUCACACAAAUCAUAUCCAACUUACAACAAUUUCGAUUACAAACUUCAUACAUAAUUCAACAUUCAUGUUUCAUAAUCCUCAACAAAAUCUCAAGCAAAUCACAAUCCUUAAAUUCAUACGAUUAUGUGGUAAUACAGCAAUUGAAAUUAUGGGAUAACACAGCGUCUUCAGCUCUCUCAUUUACCUGAAAAUUGAUAGAUGGACAACCAACCUCAAACACUGACUAUAACAGAUGAAAAACACAUCAAAGAUUUAAAUUAAUCAAACCUAUUGUGACAUGAAUUCAUUUGGUUUGUCUGUGAAAAAUAGAAGAAGCAGGGAAGAAACAUUAAGACAUGAUAUGUAUUGCAGAGUAGUAAGACUAACCCGAUCAGGCAAGUUGCAAAGUCACUUGAGCUCAAAAAGAAGAAUCGAAGAUAAGUUCAAAGGAAAACUUGUCUUUUAAUUGAUUAGCACAGGCGACGGCUAAAGGAUUGCAGUCGACUAAUACAAUAGAUGUGAUCCAAGAGUGAUCAUACGGCCAAUCGAGUUGUUGUAAUUUGUAGCAGUGGUACAUGCUUAGGUUGUUAAGCUCUGGGAAGCUUCCACGUUGAGGUCUCCAUUGCACCAAAUCAGUGUCUUCAAUGUGAAGACUAGUAAGUUUCAAGAAACACCCCGAUUCUAUUUCCCACUCUGGGCCUCGAAAGGCAUAGCAUCCUAAUAUGAGAGCCUUGAGAUGUGGCAGCAUCGAACCAAUGUCAUUCAUGUACUUCCAAGGAUACCCCCCAAAACCACUCAAAUGUAACAAUCUGAGACUUGAUGGAAACAUUGAAAGAGGAAUAGUAUUAAACUCAUACUUUAUCUCGGGAUUCCAGAUCCUAUAGUUUAAUGCGACCAAAUACUGGAGUUGUGAUAUAUAACUUAAGCAACUUAAUGAGUUGCUUUCAUCAUCAUCAUAGGGAUUCAAAUCCACAUCAAUUCCUAUAUGCGUUAAAUUAGGAAUUCUUUCGAGAACUUCCCUUGUACAACUCUUUGCACUCACACCAAAAAGUUUGAUGAGUUUGUUCAAGCUAGCAUCAGAGUUAGGGGUUGGUAGGUCCCUUCCCAAGAUCUCAAGAUACUGUAGUUCUUGCAUGUCCCAAAUUUGCACAGGCAUAUAUGACUGAACUCCACGCUUUUUAAUGUUCAUAUGUCUACCAAUCAUCAAGAAUUGAAGGUGAAAAAGGUUGGAUAUGGAGGCAGGGAGCUCUCCAUUGCAAGUUAUGGUAAGGUAUUGGAGACAAACUAGUUUUAAAAUUUCAAUUGGCAUAUGGUAAUAUCGGACAUUAAGAGCAUAUAGUACCCUGAGCAACUUGAAAUCCAUGCCAUGUAUUGGUAUUGGAUAUGGGUGAUAAGGACCAUAACAAAGGAGAGAACGAGCAGUGGAUGCACAAUCACUUCUUAUCGAAUCAUACACUUGUUUGAAGCAGAAUAAACUGGUCCAAUGGGCACACAAUCGGCGCUGGUCUUUUGUAACAUCAUCACAACUUUGUAAGACAUGCAGAAACUUGAUCCUACUAGCUUCUUCCUUACACAAGUGCUGCCAGCAAGAAUGCACACGAUACCUUUUUAACUGAUAACAAAUAAUCUGAUCUGCAGAGAACAAGAUGAUACCACAUAGAAAGAUUUUCCAACCAUGUCUCGGAAAAAUCUUCAAAACUUUCUUCUCCAAUCGGUUCAAGAAACUCCUCAGCACUCAACAGAUUAUUGAUCAUGAUUGGACGAAUAUCAACAUAUGGACGGAAAGCUCCCAUAUAGAGAAAAAACAUUUUUAACUGUUGAGGUAAGUAAUCAUAACUUGGGAAAAGUACCUCUGAUAUUUGAUUAUAUGCUUCCACGAAGACUGAACUACGUCGUUUGAGUACCUCAGUCCAGUAUUCUGGGGUCUUGUCGGCUUCCGAUAGGAGCUCUGCAACCGUGACUAUCAUAAGAGGAAGACCUUCACAUUUCUUGGCAAUCUUUUCUCCCAAUUCCUUAAGUCGAAGAGGAACACCCUCUUCACCAAACACUUUUUCACCAAGUAAUUCCCUACUUUCUUCCUCAUUCAACAAGCGUACUCUUUCGUACCCAUCCUCCGUGUAUACAAUUUCUUGUCUACUUGUAAGUAAGAAUCGAAUCCUUCCACCAAUAUUCUUUUCUUGCAAGCAACUUGUCAAGCGAUUUGUUACUUCUAUCUCCCAAACAUCAUCCAACACGACGAGACAUUUCUUAUCCUUCAAUCUCUCUUUCAAGAUUCCAACUAAUUCCUCAUCAUCAUCAUCUCCUUGGUUAAGCAUUUGGUACGCGUUGGGAUCCGCUUGAGCUAGAAUGCACCUCAAUAGUUCAUCGGAUUCGCACUUCCUGCCCACUUUGACCCAUGCUCGAAACUCAAAAUGGCUCCGAAUUGAUGGAUCUUCAAAAAUAUGCAAAGCAAGAGCUGUCUUUCCAACGCCCGCCAUCCCAAUAAGCGAAUAGCAAUUCUCGCUAUUUUCAUCAAGAAGAUAAUCUCUCGCUUUCUCAAAUUCAUCAGAUAAUCCAACCAUCUUUGACUUGAUCAUUCCACCAAAAUCAAUUCUUGAGGAAAUAGGCUCGCCUUCUUCUUCAGCCAUAUUCUCCAUUUCAAUGAGGUACUCCACCGUUAUCAUCCUCACCGUCAAGACAAAGCAAUAAACAUGGUGUAUCAGACUCUGCAGAUCUACAGAGAAAGACAAGCGAUCUCUCUCGCUUUCGAGGUGUGGAAGAAUCUGAUGUAAGACAUGGGAUUCGAGUAAAUCUUCAAAUUCCCAAACUGCCUCUUUGAUUCGUUCAUCCACAUCAUUCACCUUCGUCCUGAUCUUGCUGCAGCUGGUGUAAUCCAAUUGUAGCAGAACUUUCUGCAAUCGAUCCAUCUCUUCGUAGGCAGGUAGUAAGAUAUGCGGAGAGGGGGAAACAAGGAAAAGGCGAGAGGAUUGUAGAAUACGCUGAAUCGUAAUCUUGAGAGAAGUGGCUGCACCAUAAGCCGCCAUGACUUGGUUGAAAUAUGAUUGUGGUGGUGGUGGUGGUGUGGUGGUGGUGGAAGGUCUGCAACGGCGGUAGGUGGUGGAAGGAUAAGGAUUUGGAAGGUGCAAUUGAUAAAAUGAGAGUGGUUGAGCCUCUGCACAAAGUCAGCUCUACAC